Spodoptera frugiperda (fall armyworm) is the source of this 823-nucleotide long non-coding RNA. RefSeq lists it as uncharacterized. The record is from RefSeq and is a predicted model, not a curated record. The transcript is spliced from 3 exons. Lineage: Eukaryota; Metazoa; Arthropoda; Insecta; Lepidoptera; Noctuidae.
UGUUUGUUAAUCAAGUUGGAAUUUCGUUUUUAACAAUGCUACCAACCAGACGUACAAGCUUAGGCCGCAGAACUCGAAAUACGGCAAGUCAAAGAAAUAUAAGAGCAAAUCAAACUGAUGAGCAACGCGAAGCGCGAAAUGAACUUGAACUGAAUCGAUAUCAAGAUAGAAAUGUUGUGUUUAAUCCCCACAAAGCUGCAUUCAGUUAUAAUGUGGCAAUUGAUUACAGUUCAGAGCAAAUUGUUGCUAUUGGACUAAUGAACAUUGUGUGUCCACAUUGGGAUUGAAAUUCAAAAAUGAAGCCUCUGGAUUGUGUUGCGCCAGCGGCCAAGUCAAAUUGACGCCAUUGGUACCGCCACCAGAGCCACUACAUUCAUUGGUUAAUUUUUUGACUCAUAUCCAGCAGUACAAUAAUUGCUUUCAAAUGACAUCAUUUGGGGCAACAAAAGUUAUACGAGACAAUUUUAUGCCUACUUUUAGUAAAUUCAGGGAUUCAAAUAUAUCAUCAAACAGGUUCCUUAUUGCCAGUGCCUGUUGAAGACUAUACAUUUUUGCAAAUAUAUUUUAUGGACAAUUCAGCAAGAGAAGUCGAUCAGCGUUGCGCACACAACAACUCAGUAAAAAGAUCCAUUGUGAUGAACAACUUCAAACAUUUUUCCAUCAACACAAUGAAUUAGUUGCAUUAUUCACAAAUGCAUUAGACCGCAUGCCAUCAGAUAAUCACAAAAUUGUCAUCAGAGCCGAUAAGGCGCCUGCAGGACAAAAUGCUGGACAUUUUAAUGUGCCAACAAUUGAUAAAGAGCGCGCGUGGUAUUUAACUCAG